ACCAAGCGGCCAGGAAUCGAUCAAAUCCCUCCGGAGCACCACGUAUUGAAUCAAAACGUCGGCUGUCUCCUCCGCCUUCACUCCGCCAUCGUCCGAUGGAGGAAGGGAAUUAGUUUCAGCGGAUUCACUCAUGGAGGCGGAGCUAAAUGGAUUAGAAAUUCGAUUCCAAGAGCGGAGACUUCGGAAAGAAGAAACCCUAGGGUUUGAACAUGAGCAAAGCUUCGUGGGUUUGGAAAUGGAGAACGCGAAUCGAGAAGCUGAGGAGGG
This 267-nucleotide unclassified non-coding RNA is filed under the name Hevea brasiliensis (rubber tree). The record is from RNAcentral. Lineage: Eukaryota; Viridiplantae; Streptophyta; Magnoliopsida; Malpighiales; Euphorbiaceae.